GAUGAACAAGCUCACAUCCUUAACACAGAGAUGCCCAGUAUUAGUUCUACUAUUACUGCAGAGGGAAGUCAUUCCUGCUAUACUUCUGAAACUGAAAUUGUAACAACAGCCAUGAAAAGUGCUCUUCAUGUAAGAUAUCAGAGUGAAAUUGAAGUGGGAAAGAAACAAUUAGUUACCAUAAAACAUAAUAGCUGCAGUUCCUGCUUCUAUAGCUGGUCAUAAAGCCUA
This 228-nucleotide long non-coding RNA is filed under the name Homo sapiens (human). RNAcentral's name for it is "HSALNT0261768". The record is from RNAcentral. Lineage: Eukaryota; Metazoa; Chordata; Mammalia; Primates; Hominidae.